RNAcentral lists this unclassified non-coding RNA (475 nucleotides) under Hevea brasiliensis (rubber tree). Lineage: Eukaryota; Viridiplantae; Streptophyta; Magnoliopsida; Malpighiales; Euphorbiaceae. The record is from RNAcentral.
UCAAACAAGCCCAAGAUUAAGCAUUCCAAAUCAACAGCUUCGACAUGCCAUCAACUCUGCUCAUCCUUUCAAUUCUUAUUUCACAUCUCCAACUAUUCAAAACCACCCUUCAUCUGGAAACAUCAAUACCACCAGUAAAACCACUGAUACAGAAGACCAAACCAUAAACCAGAAACCACCUUCUUCUUCUUCUAGUAUGGUAGAUAAGACAUGUAGAGAUUCUACAAAACCUCACCUUUUCAAUGAAACCUUGGACAAAGAGCCCUCCUCGAGCCUUCCAACAAUUAGCCCUUAUAGUUGUUUCCCUCACACGAAAUCCGUAAAAGUUUUGUCGAAUAUCUUGCUUCAAUUGGGCAUGAGGGAAUAGAUACAGAGAGCAUUUUCCAAAAGUCUCAAUAUCUAACCUCGUAUUUCCAGUCCGCAGCCAUAGAGAAACUCAUCUCACUUUCUCCUAACUUAUCUCUAAACACCUUUG